AUGUACUAUCACAUUGCAAGAUGUGGAGGUAAUAUUCGGCAUGAAUAUUGAUGUUUGUGUGGCAGCCUUAUUCAAAUACCACUAUUUUUGGACUUUUCGAAUAGUGUCGACGUGGAUUCAAUAUUUGAAGGGCAAAAUUUCCACUAAUUUAUGGGAUGUAUCGAGAGUGGCAUAUGGCUGAUCGAGUUUUGACACAAUAUGGCGCUUUAAAUGCUGCUGCUCAGGGAUCUAGGUUGACUUUAGACCCGAACUAUACUUUGCUGGAAGAAUAUGAAGAUCCACUAAUAGUGCCAAUACGACCUCGACAUCGGGUUGCUAGAGUUAGAGCACGCCGGGGUGGUGCUAACCUACAUGAUGAGGAUGAAGUUGGUUAAGAUCAACAACAAGAAGAGGCUGAGUACGGUAAUCAAUGUCCGUAUUAUCCAAUUAUGCAUAUGGUUACUCCAUUUGAUCAUGAGGCGGUUAGCUCAUCACAAAAUUGGCGACAAGGAGGCCAUGAAGGCAUAGAAAUAAUUAGAUAAAUAAACCUUUGUAAUAUAUAUGUUAACUUUUGAUAAUAAUAAAGUUCUUAAGAAAAUA
Capsicum annuum is the source of this 579-nucleotide long non-coding RNA. RefSeq lists it as uncharacterized. NCBI's taxonomy places the organism in Eukaryota, Viridiplantae, Streptophyta, Magnoliopsida, Solanales, Solanaceae. The transcript has 3 exons. The record is from RefSeq and is a predicted model, not a curated record.